Molecule: long non-coding RNA, 443 nt
Organism: Cebus imitator (Panamanian white-faced capuchin)
Lineage: Eukaryota; Metazoa; Chordata; Mammalia; Primates; Cebidae
Exons: 2
Source: RefSeq, a predicted model, not a curated record
UGUUGCUAGGGAAUUAGUGAACAAUAUGAAUGAGUGUUCAUUGCUUGUGCCAAGACACAGACGAAUGGAUUGGUCAUAGAAAAGACUGAGGUGAUGUUAGUGCAGGAACCUAUAUCCCUUGAGAUUGUUUGCCUAUAUGUACCUGUGUGCAUUUUCUGGGAGAAGAAAAGCUCUUUCUUGUCCAGUUUUCAAGGAGGCGUGACACAUCCCCCUCACCUUCCAGAGAUAAUAAGUCUUUGAUUUUAAUUAGAAAGUUGACAAAGUUGACGUAUAUCCCAUAUAGUUGACUCCAGAAAGAAGAAUCCAGAGGAAAGAGGACAGAAUCAGAGCUUGGGAGAGGAGAUGAGCAUGGAGAGAAAUGGGAAUGGGAGAGCCAAGGAACAGGGCAGGUGGAUCAAGGCUUAAAGUUGAGAAGGUACGAUGGUUGAGCUGGAGGUGGAAAG